UGUGGAUUAGUGGGUGGGAGCUACACCUGGCAUACUGGGAGUUGUCGUCUUUGAUUAGCUUCCAGUUUUUUAAUUGCAGGGCAACCGGAUUACAAUCACAGCCAGCAUGAACAUGGGGCGGCGCACAGUCCUGAAGUGGAAAGCCGGGCUGUGUUGACCUCGCUGUGCAUGCUGGGAGUUGUAGUCUCUUCACUGCUCCCGCCCGUUGUUUCAGGCACUUCGGGACUACAAUCCCAGCAUGACCCGGGCUCGGGGACGGGGCGCAGUUCUCGUGGGAGGAGCGGGGCGGUGAGAGCCUGGCUAGGCAGGCUGGAAACAGUAGCUCUUAACGGUCCCCCGCCCGUUGGUGGCAAGGCGGCUGGACUGGAAUCCCAGCAGGCGACAUGCGAGGAGGCGGGCAGCCCAGGAGGAGGGUUGGACACGGCAAUGUGGACCUCGCCGCUUCCACAACGAUGCUGGCUACUGAUCGCGUGCACUUCCUUGCCAAGGAAAAUUCGUGCUGUGCACUAA
Pan troglodytes (chimpanzee) is the source of this 510-nucleotide long non-coding RNA. The record is from Ensembl. Lineage: Eukaryota; Metazoa; Chordata; Mammalia; Primates; Hominidae.